This 171-nucleotide non-coding RNA is filed under the name Neofusicoccum parvum UCRNP2. RNAcentral describes it as "Bacterial small subunit ribosomal RNA". It matches the Rfam family "Bacterial small subunit ribosomal RNA", at positions 1196 to 1367 of the family's 1533-position model. The record is from Rfam by way of RNAcentral. Lineage: Eukaryota; Fungi; Ascomycota; Dothideomycetes; Botryosphaeriales; Botryosphaeriaceae.
GCUAUGUAACAUUGUGGGCUAUAGACGUGCCACAUAUACCUUUACAAAGGGAUGCAAAAGUGUGAACUUGAGCUAAUCCCUAAAACAGGAUAGAAUAUUAAUUGUAGUCUGAAACUCGACUACAUGAAAAAGGAAUUACUAGUAAUCGUGUGUAAUCAUAGCACGGUGAAU